AUUGAACGCUGGCGGCAUGCUUUACACAUGCAAGUCGAACGGCAGCGCGGGCUUCGGCCUGGCGGCGAGUGGCGAACGGGUGAGUAAUGCAUCGGAACGUGCCCAGUAGUGGGGGAUAGCCCGGCGAAAGCCGGAUUAAUACCGCAUCCGACCUGAGGGUGAAAGCGGGGGACCGAAAGGCCUCGCGCCAUUGGAGCGGCCGAUGUCGGAAUAGCUAGUUGGUGGGGUAAAGGCUUACCAAGGCGACGAUCCGUAGCUGGUCUGAGAGGACGACCAGCCACACUGGGACUGAGACACGGCCCAGACUCCUACGGGAGGCAGCAGUGGGGAAUUUUGGACGAUGGGGGCAACCCUGAUCCAGCCAUGCCGCGUGCGGGAAGAAGGCCUUCGGGUUGUAAACCGCUUUUGUUCGGGAAGAAAUCCUCUGGGCUAAUACCCCGGGGGGAUGACGGUACCGGAAGAAUAAGCACCGGCUAACUACGUG
This 484-nucleotide ribosomal RNA is filed under the name uncultured bacterium. Its description in RNAcentral is "partial 16S ribosomal RNA". It matches the Rfam family "Bacterial small subunit ribosomal RNA", at positions 28 to 507 of the family's 1533-position model. The record is from RNAcentral.